Mirounga angustirostris (Northern elephant seal) is the source of this 3161-nucleotide long non-coding RNA. RefSeq lists it as uncharacterized. The record is from RefSeq and is a predicted model, not a curated record. The transcript has 3 exons. Lineage: Eukaryota; Metazoa; Chordata; Mammalia; Carnivora; Phocidae.
GUCAUUUCCUGUCAAGAGGAAGGAAGGAGGCUGAGAUCCAGCCAGCCACCCACCCAGCCCGGCUUUAGGCUGUAGCCCAGGGCAGAGACAGGCUGGCUGAGCUGGCCAGCCUCCCGGUAGUGGCCCCCCUCUUUCCCUUCCUUCCUACUCCUAACCCCCUCCAAAAAUUUCUGGAACCACCUGUAAGCUUUGUUCUUUAAUACUUGGACAAAGCAACCUACGCUUGGUUCAGAAUGACACUUUGCUGGAGGUGGGAAUGAGGCUGUGCCCACUCCCUGCAGAGGGCCCUGCAACCUUGGGUAGGGUUCCUUUUCCCUCUCCCCCACCUCAGGGAAGCCAAGGAAGCACAGAGAGCUGGAGUCAUGCCGGGCCCCACCUCUUUCCUGCUGGGUGACCCAGAGCAGGUUACUGACCCUCUCUGGGCCGCAGUUUUUUCCUAAAGUGAGAAUAAAAAAAUGUCUGUCCUGAAAGGUGGUUGGCUGAGAGAAUACAAGGAGAGAGAGAGCGCUCCAGAUCUUGGUACUUGGGAGAGGACAGAGGUCUGGGGAGAUCACCACGAGAUGAACAAAGUGCUGGAGCUCGCUCUGAGGGAAGCCAGCUUCCAUGUUGAGAGCUGUCUUUGGAGAGGCCUAUGUGGCAGGGAACUAAGGACACCCUCAGCCAACAGCCAGAGAGGAACUGAGACUCUCGGUCCAGUAGCCCACAAGAAACUGAACCCUGCCAACAACCAUGUGAGUGAGCUUGGAAGUGGAUCCUACCCCAGUCAAGCCUUAAGAUGACACCAGGGCCUUGGCCAACAACUUGACUUGGUCUGUGAGGAGAACCUGAGCCAGAGGACCCUUCCAGGCUGUGGGACCCAAUCCACAGAAAGACAGUAGGGGCACCUGGGUGGCUCCGUCGGUUAAGCGUCUGACUCUUCAGCUCAGGUCAUGAUCUCAGGGUCAUGAGAUGGAGCACCACGUUGGGCUGGGUGUGGAGCCUGCUUGAGAGUCUCUCUCUCCCUCUCCACACUCCCCCCCCACCCCCCACCCCCGCUCAUGCACAUGCACUCUCUCUCAAAAAAAAAAAAAAAGAGGGAGACAAUAAAUAUCUGUUGUUUUAAGCUGCUAAGUUUUGGGGCCAUUUGUUACGUGGCGAUGACUAACAAAUACCCUCUCCUUAGCCUGCUGGCCCCAACCUCCCGCCACUCUAUCCCCUUACCCAGCUUUAUGUUUCUUUAUAGCACAGUUGUUACUUCUGCAUCUUUUCUGGCCCAGAGCCUGGCCCCAUGCAGAUGUUUAGUAAUUACUUGUGAAUGAGCAAACAGGGGAAGGCAUGCAAGAUGCCCAAAGGGACAAUGCCAUAGCUCAGAAGAGCCAGAAGUAGCCGGCUCAGGAGGGAGGAGGCUGGCUCACCCCAAUCCCAGCUGCCCUGGAGGUUACCAUCCUCUCUUAGCAGAGACUGGGAGUCCUGGUCUCCCACCUCUUCAGAAGGAUGCUGGUCCGGGCCCAGCAUUCAGGCCUCUUAUGGUCUCUGUAGGAGAAUGAGUCCCAGCUGCAUACCCCACUCCAGACCGUACCUUCUGGAUUUCCUCUGCUCUCUGGACUUCAGGCCUGUUUUUCUUUGUUUGGUAUGGAGAUUUGCUAAAUGCCUCACUUAGAGUGAUCUAAUUUUUAUGCCCUUGUCAGACUUUUCACAAAAAUAAUUUAAUAGAUAAGAAUCCUAUUCCAACCCAUGUGGCCCAAUUUUUGUUUGGAAAUGGUCCCCAUGUCCAUAAAAAGGAAAGGACCGCCAAAUCCAAUCCCCUACCAGCCCUAUCCCCACUGGAUCCCAGGCUGUUGGGAGCCAGGAGGCCAGGGAACCUUCCAGCAAAAACAUCGGGCCCGAGUCGGAACCUGGUGCCUGGGUCUGGCAAGGGCUGGCCGUAUGCCCAGCUAACUGAGCCAUUUCCUCCCAGACUGGGGCAAGUUUCCUGCCCAGAGGGAACUGAACACACUCCCAGGCGGAGUGGGGGGGCUGGGUCCUGGAUUGGGAGAAGGGGCAACCACAGGCAUUUCCCCCACCUCAGCUACUUUGGAGCUGAGAGGCCCUCCUGGGGGUAGAGCGUGGAGACCAAGGGAUCAGAGAUUGGGCUUGAGCUGUCAGUGGGUGGCCAUUUCUGAAGGAGCAGAAACCACCCUGUCCAGCCUUGGGGCCAGCCUGCCCCCGUGUCCCAGGUGUGCCCUGGGGUGGGGAAAAGAGAAGCCUACACCAGACUCUGUCUGCUUCCAGAAGAAGUAGGCUUUGGGUGAGCAUGGUGGCCUUUGCUGAGAAGCAGGGCUCGCCAGAACCUGGAAUCCUCCAAGAACCUUCUCGCCUCACCGCCUUCCUGGUGCGUCCUCGGUCACUCCCAGACAACCUGACCCUCGUAGCCCCCUGGAUACCCCCUAGCUAGGAGUCUUCUUUGCCCUGUGGGGUCCCUCCUUGGAAAGGGCCCUCAAUCCCCGUGGGCCCAGUGCCCAGGCCAGGAAAACAUGGCUGUGAUGGAACCUCAGGCUACUCUGCUCGCAAGGUGGCUGGAACCACAUUCCAGAACCUUCCAGGAAUGGACCUGCCCUAUUUUUUUAUAUGCACCUCUGUUGGUUUCCGUGGCCCCAGCUCUUCAACAAGAAGAAGGUAGCAGGAAGCACGCAAAGCACUUGAGCUUUGGGGGUCAGGCCACCCGGGCUCCAAUCCUGGCUUCGCCACUAACUAGCUCUGUGACCUUGAGCAAAUUAUAUAACCUCUCUGGGCUUCUCUGGGCUUUCUGAAUCUGUUAAAAAGGGAUAACAGUACCCAUCUCUUGGGGCUGAUGUCAGAAUGAAAAGAGAUCAUAAAAGUGCUUGGCACGUGGUAAGCAUCCCACACAUGGCCAUUUUUCUUCUGACUGGCUCAGAGAGUUACAGCGACCCACCCAAUGGCACACAGCAAGUAAGGAGAGGAGCUGGUACCCAACCUUUUCCCAGAUACUCUGUGGCCUCCCUGGGCUGGGCCCUGCAGGGGAGACAGGGCUGAACGAGGCUGAGAGAGCAAGGACCCUCAUGGUCUUAGACAGCCUAGGAUGGGGCGGGACACGGACACCGUCCACCCACAACUGCAAGUGGAUGCUAGAUCAUGAGUCCAUGCCACCGAAUCCCUGUUGCUUCCUCAGCCACCUCAAUAUU